Molecule: transfer RNA, 92 nt
Filed under: Streptomyces camponoticapitis
Lineage: Bacteria; Bacillati; Actinomycetota; Actinomycetes; Kitasatosporales; Streptomycetaceae
Description: tRNA-Ala
Source: RNAcentral
UCCGGCCCGGCCGGAGGCGGCGACGGGGCUGCCGGCGACGGGCUCGGUGUCGGAGCCGACACCGCCCCCGGGAUCACCGCCGGAGCCGGACC